Mauremys mutica (yellowpond turtle) is the source of this 1255-nucleotide long non-coding RNA. RefSeq lists it as uncharacterized. The record is from RefSeq and is a predicted model, not a curated record. The transcript is spliced from 3 exons. Lineage: Eukaryota; Metazoa; Chordata; Testudines; Geoemydidae.
GCGACCGGAGCGAGCGGACGUCCCUCUGGGAGCUCGGUGCCGGGAGGCUCCUACCCUUCCCCGUGCUCGCUACCCAGAGGAGCUGCCGGGGCUUCCCCGGGCUCGCUACCCAGAGGAGCUGCCGGAGCUCCCCCGGGCUCGCUACCCAGAGGAGCUGCCGGAGCUCCCCCGCACCUACUACCCAGAAGACUCACCAGAGCCACCCUGGACCGCCGUUCCGGAGGAGUUGCCGGACCUGCCACCCAGCCCCGGCCGAGACGAACUCAUGCACCUGGACCCGGUGGAGGACGCCCCAGGAUCCAGAGUGUUUAUCUUCAAAACCUCUAAAGUUGCCCCUUGCUGAUCAUCAGAAUUAGCCCUAUAAAGUCAUGAUACAAGCUUAACUGUAGUGGAGCUGCUGUGUCUCUAUAAUAUAUGUCAAAAACAAAGCUGCCCAGCACCACCAAUGGACUUCAUCCAUUUAUUUGAAAAAAAUUGAUGAUGUGGAAUGAAGGUUACAGGAGCUGAAUCACUGGAGGGCUUGUCAGCAGGGAGAAGCAAUACUCCUCAGUCACUGGGGGUCUGGGGUACAAACAUCAGCUGAGAAAGGAAUUUUCAUCUCCAUCUCCCAUAUUGCAAAUCUCUGCUUCAAACCUCACUACUCAGACAUGGCUUACGGAAAGUAAUUUAAGGUGUUCACCUAUACUGGCAAUCCCUGAGAGGACAGAAGAUCUUGUGGUUAAGACACUGUAUUUGAACUAAAGAGAGCUGACAUCCAUUCUUGGCUCUGAUUCAGACUUCCUCUACAAUCUUGAGCAUGUCACUUGAUCUCACUCAGUUCCCCAUCUGUAAAAUGGGGAUAAUAAUACUGCUUUUCUCCUACCCAUUAUCUGUCUUGACUGUUUAUAGGGAUUGUCUUACUAUAUGUUGUGCUCAGUUGUGGUUUCUAGGCAUUAGUGUAAUACAAGAAUAGAAAUCUCAGGGAACAAUGAAAAAAUAUGAGUUUUAUUUCAAGGAAAGUAAUCUGAGGAUUCCCCAGUUUUAAACAUGUAUAUGACAUUUAGUAUAACUAACUGGGAGGGUCCUUAUGAUUUAUUAAGUAAUAAUCAUAUAUUUGGAUAAUAACUGAAAAAGCUGAAGCAUUUGGUAGUUUGCAUAUAGUUAUGGCUGAGUUAACAAUGAACAUCUUCAAAUUGUUGUACUGCGAAGUGUUCUGUCAUCUCACUUCUGUUCUAUGACUGGCUAUUAUUCCCUCUGUGCUGACUGGCAUUCCUAU